Molecule: transfer RNA, 99 nt
Organism: Tilletiaria anomala
Lineage: Eukaryota; Fungi; Basidiomycota; Exobasidiomycetes; Georgefischeriales; Tilletiariaceae
Rfam family: tRNA
About the family: Transfer RNA (tRNA) molecules are approximately 80 nucleotides in length.
Source: Rfam
GGGCGACUAGCGCAGUGGUCAGCGCAUUGGACUUCGACUGAUGGUAUUAUCAUGACCAGAGGUUUCCAAGGGUCGUCGGUUCAAAUCCGGCGUCGCUCU